CCCCCCCCCGCGAGCGCGCGCACACACACACACUUGGCAACGGCGGAAGGACGCGGCGUCUUUACCCAAAGAUUGAUCCAAAAGCCACCUCCCGCUGAGCCAGGAGUGCAGUAUUGAUAAAUAUGGAAAGGACUGAAGCUGCUGUGAUGCUUGUGGGGGGCCCCUGUGAGCUGACUACUCACUACAGCCCAGCUACGGGCGGGGAAAAGGCAAAGAACAGCAGUGGCCUCUGGUGGUUAUAGGCUAGUUCUGUGCUGAAAAUUAAGAUUGCCGGUCGUUUCAGUAGUGAACUACAACCUGCAAGUACAUGAGACAAGGGGACAGCUGUUCACAUGAUUUCAGUUGGACCCUAGGGACAGGACUCAAAAACAAAGAACCCCAACUGAAUCAGUAUCUAGAAAAACUUUGCACAAGCUCAUUAUUUUAACUACUACUCCUGAUUUUGUUCUAACUUUGUUAUCAGGAUUAUCUGUAUUUUUUGUUGAGGUCUUCUGCUUUAGGAUUAAGAACUUUGAAUCUUGAGUUUUGGUUCAGUUUUAAAAAGAACUGAUGCACACUUUGCAGGAAUGUAAGUGGGUUUGUCUGUGCAGGCAACUUCGGUCCAGACUGAUAGUAAUGAAAAUUGUACCUCAUUUUUCAAGUCUAAUGCAAAAGCCAACUUUAAUUUCUAUUUUAGGUUUUCAACAUCAUUGUUCCCUGAGCGUUCUUUCAGUGUUCAGCAGCAGCACAUACAGUCAUGGUUAAUUCUGUACUGCAAAAAUCUGUGCAUCAUCUGUUCCAGAUUUAUGUGGUGUGUUUGUUGUUGCCUAUCAGUCUUCUAAGACUUCUGCAUCACUGUCAUUCUGUACAAAACUAGUUCUGCAUAAAAGUAGAAAAGACAUCAGAUUUUACUGCAGAUCCUCAAGGGGCCUGUGGUACUGGGAGACAAAUAACAGUUUAUGAAGGGUAUAUGGAAUAGGUGUUGAAAAGCAUAUGAAAAUAACUUUUUAUUAAUAAGAAAAUUCAGUGGUAAAUCAUAUGCUUAAAAUAUUGUCUGUAACUUUACAGCCAUUUUCAAUCUAUCAAAGCUGUUUAAUCUCUGUGUAAUUUCCCUUCUUUGUCUAUGUGAUUGACAUCAUAUUUGUCACCUGCACUUUGCAACUCCUGGAAGAAAGGCACUGCAUGCAUAGCUAAAACUGUUGCUCUACUUGUUAGUGAAUCUAUUGUCUACAUUUGCAGAGAUGAUGAUAUUUCAAAAUAUUUAAAAUUUGUUGUGGUUUGUAAAUAAUAAAAAACCUAUUACAGUC
Molecule: long non-coding RNA, 1286 nt
Organism: Aquila chrysaetos chrysaetos
Lineage: Eukaryota; Metazoa; Chordata; Aves; Accipitriformes; Accipitridae
Exons: 3
Source: RefSeq, a predicted model, not a curated record